GGGUUGUGAGGUUAAGCGACUAAGCGUACACGGUGGAUGCCCUGGCAGUCAGAGGCGAUGAAGGACGUGCUAAUCUGCGAAAAGCGUCGGUAAGGUGAUAUGAACCGUUACAGCCGGCGAUGUCCGAAUGGGGAAACCCAGUGCAAUUCGUUGCACUAUCGUUAACUGAAUACAUAGGUUAACGAGGCGAACCGGGGGAACUGAAACAUCUAAGUACCCCGAGGAAAAGAAAUCAACCGAGAUUCCCCCAGUAGCGGCGAGCGAACGGGGAGCAGCCCAGAGUCUGAAUCAGCUUGUGUGUUAGUGGAACGGUCUGGAAAGUCCGACGGUACAGGGUGAUAGUCCCGUACACCAAAAUGCACAGGCUGUGAACUCGAAGAGUAGGGCGGGACACGUGGUAUCCUGUCUGAAUAUGGGGGGACCAUCCUCCAAGGCUAAAUACUCCUGACUGACCGAUAGUGAACCAGUACCGUGAGGGAAAGGCGAAAAGAACCCCGGCGAGGGGAGUGAAAAAGAACCUGAAACCGUGUACGUACAAGCAGUGGGAGCACCUUCGGGUGUGACUGCGUACCUUUUGUAUAAUGGGUCAGCGACUUAUAUUCUGUAGCAAGGUUAACCGUAUAGGGGAGCCGCAGGGAAACCGAGUCUUAACUGGGCGUUAAGUUGCAGGGUAUAGACCCGAAACCCGGUGAUCUAGCCAUGGGCAGGUUGAAGGUUGGGUAACACUAACUGGAGGACCGAACCGACUAAUGUUGAAAAAUUAGCGGAUGACUUGUGGCUGGGGGUGAAAGGCCAAUCAAACCGGGAGAUAGCUGGUUCUCCCCGAAAGCUAUUUAGGUAGCGCCUCGUGAACUCAUCUUCGGGGGUAGAGCACUGUUUCGGCUAGGGGGUCAUCCCGACUUACCAACCCGAUGCAAACUACGAAUACCGAAGAAUGUUAUCACGGGAGACACACGGCGGGUGCUAACGUCCGUCGUGAAGAGGGAAACAACCCAGACCGCCAGCUAAGGUCCCAAAGUCAUGGUUAAGUGGGAAACGAUGUGGGAAGGCACAGACAGCCAGGAUGUUGGCUUAGAAGCAGCCAUCAUUUAAAGAAAGCGUAAUAGCUCACUGGUCGAGUCGGCCUGCGCGGAAGAUGUAACGGGGCUAAACCAUGCACCGAAGCUGCGGCAGCGACACUAUGUGUUGUUGGGUAGGGGAGCGUUCUGUAAGCCUGCGAAGGUGUGCUGUGAGGCAUGCUGGAGGUAUCAGAAGUGCGAAUGCUGACAUAAGUAACGAUAAAGCGGGUGAAAAGCCCGCUCGCCGGAAGACCAAGGGUUCCUGUCCAACGUUAAUCGGGGCAGGGUGAGUCGACCCCUAAGGCGAGGCCGAAAGGCGUAGUCGAUGGGAAACAGGUUAAUAUUCCUGUACUUGGUGUUACUGCGAAGGGGGGACGGAGAAGGCUAUGUUAGCCGGGCGACGGUUGUCCCGGUUUAAGCAUGUAGGCUGGUUGUCCAGGCAAAUCCGGAUAAUCAAGGCUGAGGUGUGAUGACGAGGCACUACGGUGCUGAAGUAACAAAUGCCCUGCUUCCAGGAAAAGCCUCUAAGCAUCAGGUAACAUUAAAUCGUACCCCAAACCGACACAGGUGGUCAGGUAGAGAAUACCAAGGCGCUUGAGAGAACUCGGGUGAAGGAACUAGGCAAAAUGGUGCCGUAACUUCGGGAGAAGGCACGCUGGUGUGUAGGUGAAGUCCCUGCGGAUGGAGCUGAGACCAGUCGAAGAUACCAGCUGGCUGCAACUGUUUAUUAAAAACACAGCACUGUGCAAACACGAAAGUGGACGUAUACGGUGUGACGCCUGCCCGGUGCCGGAAGGUUAAUUGAUGGGGUUAUCCGUAAGGAGAAGCUCUUGAUCGAAGCCCCGGUAAACGGCGGCCGUAACUAUAACGGUCCUAAGGUAGCGAAAUUCCUUGUCGGGUAAGUUCCGACCUGCACGAAUGGCGUAAUGAUGGCCAGGCUGUCUCCACCCGAGACUCAGUGAAAUUGAACUCGCUGUGAAGAUGCAGUGUACCCGCGGCAAGACGGAAAGACCCCGUGAACCUUUACUAUAGCUUGACACUGAACAUUGAGCCUUGAUGUGUAGGAUAGGUGGGAGGCUUUGAAGCGUGGACGCCAGUCUGCGUGGAGCCAACCUUGAAAUACCACCCUUUAAUGUUUGAUGUUCUAACGUUGGCCCCUUACGGGGUUGCGGACAGUGUCUGGUGGGUAGUUUGACUGGGGCGGUCUCCUCCCAAAGCGUAACGGAGGAGCACGAAGGUUAGCUAAUCCUGGUCGGACAUCAGGAGGUUAGUGCAAUGGCAUAAGCUAGCUUGACUGCGAGCGUGACGGCGCGAGCAGGUGCGAAAGCAGGUCAUAGUGAUCCGGUGGUUCUGAAUGGAAGGGCCAUCGCUCAACGGAUAAAAGGUACUCCGGGGAUAACAGGCUGAUACCGCCCAAGAGUUCAUAUCGACGGCGGUGUUUGGCACCUCGAUGUCGGCUCAUCACAUCCUGGGGCUGAAGUAGGUCCCAAGGGUAUGGCUGUUCGCCAUUUAAAGUGGUACGCGAGCUGGGUUUAGAACGUCGUGAGACAGUUCGGUCCCUAUCUGCCGUGGGCGCUGGAGAAUUGAGGGGGGCUGCUCCUAGUACGAGAGGACCGGAGUGGACGCAUCACUGGUGUUCGGGUUGUCAUGCCAAUGGCACUGCCCGGUAGCUAAAUGCGGAAGAGAUAAGUGCUGAAAGCAUCUAAGCACGAAACUUGCCCCGAGAUGAGUUCUCCCUGAGACUUUAAGUCUCCUGAAGGAACGUUGAAGACGACGACGUUGAUAGGCCGGGUGUGUAAGCGCAGCGAUGCGUUGAGCUAACCGGUACUAAUGAACCGUGAGGCUUAACCUUACAACGCCGAAG
This 2922-nucleotide ribosomal RNA is filed under the name Klebsiella pneumoniae subsp. pneumoniae. Its description in RNAcentral is "bacterial LSU rRNA". It matches the Rfam family "Bacterial large subunit ribosomal RNA". The record is from RNAcentral. Lineage: Bacteria; Pseudomonadati; Pseudomonadota; Gammaproteobacteria; Enterobacterales; Enterobacteriaceae.